AACCUAUGGACGGGAAUAACCUCGGGAAACUGAGUAUAAUGCCCGAUAGAACACUAUACCUGGAAUGGUUUGUGUUCCAAAUGAUUUAUCGCCGUAGGAUGGGACUGCGGCCUAUCAGUUUGUUGGUGAGGUAAUGGCCCACCAAGACUAUUACAGGUACGGGCUCUGAGAGGAGUAGCCCGGAGAUGGGUACUGAGACACGGACCCAGGCCCUAUGGGGCGCAGCAGGCGAGAAAACUUUGCAAUGUGCUAAAGCACGACAAGGUUAAUCCGAGUGGUUUCUGCUAAAGGAACCUUUUGUCAGUCCUAGAAACACUGAUGAAUAAGGGGUGGGCAAGUUCUGGUGUCAGCCGCCGCGGUAAAACCAGCACCUCAAGUGGUCAGGAUGAUUAUUGGGCCUAAAGCAUCCGUAGCCGGCUCUGUAAGUUUUCGGUUAAAUCUGUACGCUCAACGUACAGGCUGCCGGGAAUACUGCAGAGCUAGGGAGUGGGAGAGGUAGACGGUACUCGGUAGGAAGGGGUAAAAUCCUUUGAUCUAUUGAUGACCACCUGUGGCGAAGGCGGUCUACCAGAACACGUCCGACGGUGAGGGAUGAAAGCUGGGGGAGCAAACCGGAUUAGAUACCCGGGUAGUCCCAGCUGUAAACUAUGCAAACUCAGUGAUGCAUUGGCUUGUGGCCAAUGCAGUGCUGCAGGGAAGCCGUUAAGUUUGCCGCCUGGGAAGUACGUACGCAAGUAUGAAACUUAAAGGAAUUGGCGGGGGAGCACCACAAGGGGUGAAGCCUGCGGUUCAAUUGGAGUCAACGCCGGA
Molecule: ribosomal RNA, 810 nt
Filed under: uncultured crenarchaeote
Lineage: Archaea; Thermoproteati; Thermoproteota
Description: bacterial SSU rRNA
Rfam family: Archaeal small subunit ribosomal RNA
Source: RNAcentral